RNAcentral lists this ribosomal RNA (501 nucleotides) under uncultured bacterium. Its description in RNAcentral is "bacterial SSU rRNA". It matches the Rfam family "Bacterial small subunit ribosomal RNA", at positions 8 to 507 of the family's 1533-position model. The record is from RNAcentral.
AGAGUUUGAUCAUGGCUCAGAUUGAACGCUGGCGGCAGGCCUAACACAUGCAAGUCGAGCGUGAAAGUCCUUCGGGAUGAGUAAAGCGGCGGACGGGUGAGUAACGCGUAGGAAUCUACCUGAUAGUGGGGGAUAACGUUUCGAAAGGAACGCUAAUACCGCAUACGUUCUGAGGAAGAAAGCAGGGGCUCGCAAGACCUUGCGCUAUCAGAUGAGCCUGCGUCCGAUUAGCUAGUUGGUGGGGUAAAGGCCUACCAAGGCGACGAUCGGUAACUGGUCUGAGAGGAUGAUCAGUCACACUGGAACUGAGACACGGUCCAGACUCCUACGGGAGGCAGCAGUGGGGAAUAUUGGACAAUGGGGGCAACCCUGAUCCAGCCAUGCCGCGUGUGUGAAGAAGGCCUUCGGGUUGUAAAGCACUUUAAGCGGGGAGGAAGGCUCUAUGGCUAAUAUCCAUGGGGAUUGACGGUACCUGAAGAAUAAGCACCGGCUAACUACGUG